RNAcentral lists this unclassified non-coding RNA (952 nucleotides) under Hevea brasiliensis (rubber tree). Lineage: Eukaryota; Viridiplantae; Streptophyta; Magnoliopsida; Malpighiales; Euphorbiaceae. The record is from RNAcentral.
GUAUCCUGGUAACAAGGACAUGGUGCAAGCUGACUUUUUGUGUGUGGAAGUUGUAUAACAGUUUAACAUGCCACUUCUCCUGUUCCACUUUUUUUUCUAUAUUCAAUGUGUACUGCUCUAAAAAUAUUUUAGAUGGUUCGUUGCAGAAUAUUUUGGAAGAGAAAUGCAAGUUAAAUGUAAACAAUUAAAUAUUGUGGUAAAGUUUUUUUUCUGAUGCUAUGAUUAGUGGUCUAUACAAUAUUAUUCAGUGGAUUUUGUGUAUGUUGGGAUUGACAUGUAGGCUAGCGUUCAACGAUUUGCAGUGUGUUUUCACUUUCCAGUGGAAAAAUUUGAAUGGUACAACUGUUAUAUGGUUUUGGUAACUGCAUAGUGAUAUUAUAAUUUAUGAGCCUAUCACAGAUGUUAUUUUGGUGGAAAAUGGAUGUAAUGGUUUUGUGGUGAGAAUCAACUCCGUUAUGUUGAUUGAUCUGUCUGCCACAUUUCUUUUUCAACCAUUUCUGAUAACGGGUUUUCCAUUGGCUGGAACUGCAAUUUGUUUCAAUCCCAAUUAUUCUUUUCUUAUUUUUAUUUUAUAAAUGUUUCUUUAGGGAGUUGUAGCCUUGAUGUAUAGAUCUGGUAAUGGAAGUAAAAAAUUAUGUCAAGUCUCAAACAUACGAAUUUUUUACAAAUGGAAAUACUAUGUUGAGCCUUGGGUGGCCCAAGUUUAAAAUCACAACAAUUCUGGUAGAUAUACAUUCCUGUGAAUGCCAUUGAUUGAGGUUUAUGUCAAGCUCCUCUCUUACUGCUGUGCUGGCCUUGUACCUUAAUGGAAUUCUUAGAAAUAGUGAUAUACUCCCAUAAUUUUAUUGUGUUGAUUUGUGUGUAUUUAUGUCGAGUUUUAAUUCAGUUCUCUUUCUAUUGUUGCAUUCUUAUUUUCUCUUUUGCUUCUAGAUAAUAUUUGAUAAUAUUCUCA